This 8823-nucleotide long non-coding RNA is filed under the name Daucus carota (carrot). Its description in RNAcentral is "long non-coding RNA (DCAR_LNC003394)". Lineage: Eukaryota; Viridiplantae; Streptophyta; Magnoliopsida; Apiales; Apiaceae. The record is from RNAcentral.
UGAGAUCUGGAUGGUAAGCUGAUGGAACGAGAAUGAGCACUAACUUUUGUGGUUGCAAUUGAGGCUGCCAUUUUUAUUUGCAGGAGGAAUUAGAUGCCAAUGAAAAUCCUGAACUCAAGGUUUGUUUGAUUGAACUCUCACCUUGGCACCUUUUUAUAAACUAUGAGGAGACAAAAGGAAUCAACUUAAUUUCCUUCAUGUGCCGAACAGAGAAACAGGCCAAGGUAACUAGGGGCUGAGGGCAAAACAGGCUAGAAUAGGGAUUAGUGACUCGGGUUGACCUAGCAAUGCAGUUUGUAAAAUUUUGUGUGUGAUUACUAUAUUAUAGUUUGAUUAUAUAUCUGGAUGAUCUGAAUUUUAAAGCUAUUUGCACUCAAAUCGCAAUUAAUCUUCUGUGUAUGUUUAUAUUAAUAUGAAUUGCCACCCGGAUCCGGUCUACUUCUAGUUUACAUUAGAUAGAUAAUUACAGUAUUGAUUGCGAGAAAAGAAUUGGGGACGGGUAUAACUCCUUUUUUUGACCCUGCACUGCGUUCUUAUUUGCGGUUUUGGGAUAUGUGAUGGGUAUGAGAAGGAUCCUGUUGCAGAAAUAUAUAUAUUUUGCAAAUUGUGUUGUUGAUGAAAUAUACGCGAAACCGAAUAUUGACUUUAAACAGUUGUUUUCGCAAUCUUUCUCGUUGAUAAUAUACUAGCUUCACAUACAGUCUGUACUCAUGUAUGUACAAAAACUGAUCCCUCACAAAAAUUCGGGGAUGCAGUAAUAGUCUAUCUAAUAGACAAUUCUGUUGGAAAAGAACUAGUGGUUGAGCACAUUGAGAAUUAAUACUCGUGUCUUGAUCAAUGAUCGGACUAGACAGUCUAAUUGUUCUUCACAUUCUUGCAUAUUCAUGUCCAAUGCCGUCAGACAUUUCUGAACGUCUUCUGUUUCUGUGAUAUCACUUUUUUUGCUUGAUUUCUUGCUGAUAGCUUCUAAAGCCAUAUCCAUGUUGUGAACUUGGUUGAUAAUUUCUUCUGUGUCCUCUUCACAAUGUACACGCUUGGACUGUGUUGACUUGAAAACCUUUGACCAUGUGCUUUUUGUCGAUGCUUCCUUUGCAGGACAGAUGGAUGAGAAGAUAGACUCGAAAACUGAGAUGCUGACUUCUUCGACUUCCCUUAGAAGGCUCACGAUAGCAGGAGUCUCGAUGCUUUUGUUAAUUUUGGACUUCUUAGAACCAGCAAAGCACUUGGAGAGCAUUCUGUUUGCCUUUUUCUUACAUACCAGGUAGCUUGCGAUUCUGCUUGAUACAUCAGUUUGUCUUCUACGUAGAGAGGAUUCUAGAUCUUGAACUGAAUCUCUCAUAUGCGAGAGAGCAUCUUUUGAGGUGCUGCACAGAUCCAAUAACCUAAUGGACCCGCAAAGAAUAUCUUCUCCGCAGCUCAAACGAUCUUGCUGUGCGGCUUGCGAUUGGAUCAAAUCUUCUACACACUCAUAUAAGUCUUGAAGAGCGGAUAAUUUGUCGCAUUUGGAUACUGUCGAUGAGGAUGCCCCUUCCGGGGUCCUUAAUCUGCACAAGUGCUCCUCAACAGUGGCUGUCAAGGGAUGAGAUCUGGAUGGUAAGCUGAUGGAACGAGAAUGAGCACUAACUUUUGUGGUUGCAAUUGAGGCUGCCAUUUUUAUUUGCAGGAGGAAUUAGAUGCCAAUGAAAAUCCUGAACUCAAGGUUUGUUUGAUUGAACUCUCACCUUGGCACCUUUUUAUAAACUAUGAGGAGACAAAAGGAAUCAACCUAAUUUCCUUCAUGUGCUGAACAGAGAAACAGGCCAAGUAUCAGAAAAUGCAGAUCUCAAUUGUAGCAGUGUCUGUGGGAGGAGGAACAUUUGCUUGGCACAAAAUAAUAUAAUAUGCAAGAAACCAGGCUGGCGUUCAUCUGCAAAUUUUGGUAAGUUUUCUAAUAUGAAAACAAGUUAAGACCAGGGGUAUAAUUUUGCAUCUCAUGUGUUAUAUAUUAAAGUUGUCUUGAAAUUCAUAUACAUUGCAUUAUUUUUUGCAUCUUGUUGUUAGACAUGUUGUAUAUUAUUGUUAAGUAAAACAGCGCAUGAAUGGCUUGGCAUUUUUUUUAUGCAUAGAAUUAGUGAGGGCCUUUAUUGCUCCAUUCGGUCUCUAGCGAUGCAGAGCUGAACACUUGAGAUCUGUCAUUAUGUGUACUGGGUAGACAGAAGGAAUCUGAACAGCCUGCAGUCAGUUUGCAAGAACCAUUAAGGUGUGACUAGGUGUCCUGGUAACUAGGGGCUGAGGGCAAAACAGGCUAGAAUAGGGAUUAGUGACUCGGGUUGACCGAGCAAUGCAGUUUGUAAAAUUUUGUGUGUGAUUACUAUAUUAUAGUUUGAUUAUAUAUCUGGAUGAUCUGAAUUUUAAAGCUACUUGCACUCAAAUCGCAAUUAAUCUUCUGUGUAUGUUUAUAUUAAUAUGAAUUGCCACCCGGAUCCGGUCUACUUCUAGUUCACAUUAGAUAGAUAAUUACAGUAUUGAUUGCCAGAAAAGAAUUGGGGACGGGUAUAACUCCUUUUUUUGACCCUGCACUGCGUUCUUAUCUGCGGUUUUGGGAUAGUGUGAUGGGUAUGAGAAGGAUCCUGCUGCAGAAAUAUAUAUAUUUUGCAAAUUGUGUUGUUGAUGAAAUAUACGCGAAACUGAAUAUUGACUUUAAACAGUUGUUUUCGCAAUCUUUCUCGUUGAUAAUAUACUAGCUUCAUAUACAGUCUGUCCUCAUGUAUGUACAAAAACUGAUCCCUCACAAAAAUUCGGGGAUGCAGUAACAGUCUAUCUAAUAUACAGUUCUGUUGGAAAAGAACUAGUGGUUGAGCACAUUGAGAAUUAAUACUCGUGUCUUGAUCAAUGAUCGGACUAGACAGUCUAAUUGUUCUUCACAUUCUUGCAUAUUCAUGUCCAAUGCCGUCAGACAUUUCUGAACGUCUUGUGUUUCUGUGAUAUCACUUUUUUUGCUUGAUUUCUUGCUGAUAGCUUCUAAAGCCAUAUCCAUGUUGUGAACUUGGUUGAUAAUUUCUUCUGUGUCCUCUUCACAAUGUACACGCUUGGACUGUGUUGACUUGAAAACCUUUGACCAUGUGCUUUUUGUCGAUGCUUCCUUUGCAGGACAGAUGGAUGAGAAGAUAGACUCGAAAACUGAGAUGCUGACUUCUUCGACUUCCCUUAGAAGGCUCACGAUAGCAGGAGUCUCGAUGCUUUUGUUAAUUUUGGACUUCUUAGAACCAGCAAAGCACUUGGAGAGCAUUCUGUUUGCCUUUUUCUUACAUACCAGGUAGCUUGCGAUUCUGCUUGAUACAUCAGUUUGUCUUCUACGUAGAGAGGAUUCUAGAUCUUGAACUGAAUCUCUCAUAUGCGAGAGAGCAUCUUUUGAGGUGCUGCACAGAUCCAAUAACCUAAUGGACCCGCAAAGAAUAUCUUCUCCGCAGCUCAAACGAUCUUGCUGUGCGGCUUGCGAUUGGAUCAAAUCUUCUACACACUCAUAUAAGUCUUGAAGAGCGGAUAAUUUGUCGCAUUUGGAUACUGUCGAUGAGGAUGUCCCUUCCGGGGUCCUUAAUCUGCACAAGUGCUCCUCAACAGUGGCUGUCAAGAGAUGAGAUCUGGAUGGUAAGCUGAUGGAACGAGAAUGAGCACUAACUUUUGUGGUUGCAAUUGAGGCUGCCAUUUUUAUUUGCAGGAGGAAUUAGAUGCCAAUGAAAAUCCUGAACUCAAGGUUUGUUUGAUUGAACUCUCACCUUGGCACCUUUUUAUAAACUAUGAGGAGACAAAAGGAAUCAACUUAAUUUCCUUCAUGUGCCGAACAGAGAAACAGGCCAAGUAUCAGAAAAUGCAGAUCUCAAUUGUAGCAGUGUCUGUGGGAGGAGGAACAUUUGCUUGGCACAAAAUAAUAUAAUAUGCAAGAAACCAGGCUGGCGUUCAUCUGCAAAUUUUGGUAAGUUUUCUAAUAUGAAAACAAGUUAAGACCAGGGGUAUAAUUUUGCAUCUCAUGUGUCAUAUAUUAAAGUUGUCUUGAAAUUCAUAUACAUUGCAUUAUUUUUUGCAUCUUGUUGUUAGACAUGUUGUAUAUUAUUGUUAAGUAAAACAGCGCAUGAAUGGCUUGGCAUUUUUUUUAUGCAUAGAAUUAGUGAGGGCCUUUAUUGCUCCAUUCGGUCUCUAGCGAUGCAGAGCUGAACACUUGAGAUCUGUCAUUAUGUGUACUGGGUAGACAGAAGGAAUCUGAACAGCCUGCAGUCAGUUUGCAAGAACCAUUAAGGUGUGACUAGGUGUCCUGGUAACUAGGGGCUGAGGGCAAAACAGGCUAGAAUAGGGAUUAGUGACUCGGGUUGACCUAGCAAUGCAGUUUGUAAAAUUUUGUGUGUGAUUACUAUAUUAUAGUUUGAUUAUAUAUCUGGAUGAUCUGAAUUUUAAAGCUAUUUGCACUCAAAUCGCAAUUAAUCUUCUGUGUAUGUUUAUAUUAAUAUGAAUUGCCACCCGGAUCCGGUCUACUUCUAGUUUACAUUAGAUAGAUAAUUACAGUAUUGAUUGCCAGAAAAGAAUUGGGGACGGGUAUAACUCCUUUUUUUGACCCUGCACUGCGUUCUUAUUUGCGGUUUUGGGAUAGUGUGAUGGGUAUGAGAAGGAUCCUGCUGCAGAAAUAUAUAUAUUUUGCAAAUUGUGUUGUUGAUGAAAUAUACGCGAAACUGAAUAUUGACUUUAAACAGUGAAACCAGGCUGGCGUUCAUCUGCAAAUUUUGGUAAGUUUUCUAAUAUGAAAAUAAGUUAAGACCAGGGGUAUAAUUUUGCAUCUCAUGUGUCAUAUAUUAAAGUUGUCUUGAAAUUCAUAUACAUUGCUUUAUUUUUUGCAUCUUGUUGUUAGACAUGUUGUAUAUUAUUGUUAAGUAAAACAGCGCAUGAAUGGCUUGGCAUUUUUUUUAUGCAUAGAAUUAGUGAGGGCCUUUAUUGCUCCAUUCGGUCUCUAGCGAUGCAGAGCUGAACACUUGAGAUCUGCCAUUAUGUGUACUGGGUAGACAGAAGGAAUCUGAACAGCCUGCAAUCAGUUUGCAAGAACCAUUAAGGUGUGACUAGGUGUCCUGGUAACUAGGGGCUGAGGGCAAAACAGGCUAGAAUAGGGAUUAGUGACUCGGGUUGACCUAGCAAUGCAGUUUGUAAAAUUUUGUGUGUGAUUACUAUAUUAUAGUUUGAUUAUAUAUCUGGAUGAUCUGAAUUUUAAAGCUAUUUGCACUCAAAUCGCAAUUAAUCUUCUGUGUAUGUUUAUAUUAAUAUGAACUGCCACCCGGAUCCGGUCUACUUCUCGUUUACAUUAGAUAGAUAAUUACAGUAUUGAUUGCCAGAAAAGAAUUGGGGACGGGUAUAACUCCUUUUUUUGACCCUGCACUGCGUUCUUAUCUGCGGUUUUGGGAUAGUGUGAUGGGUAUGAGAAGGAUCCUGCUGCAGAAAUAUAUAUAUUUUGCAAAUUGUGUUGUUGAUGAAAUAUACGCGAAACUGAAUAUUGACUUUAAACAGUUGUUUUCGCAAUCUUUCUCGUUGAUAAUAUACUAGCUUCAUAUACAGUCUGUCCUCAUGUAUGUACAAAAACUGAUCCCUCACAAAAAUUCGGGGAUGCAGUAACAGUCUAUCUAAUAUACAGUUCUGUUGGGAAAGAACUAGUGGUUGAGCACAUUGAGAAUUAAUACUCGUGUCUUGAUCAAUGAUCGGACUAGACAGUCUAAUUGUUCUUCACAUUCUUGCAUAUUCAUGUCCAAUGCCGUCAGACAUUUCUGAACGUCUUGUGUUUGUGUGAUAUCACUUUUUUUGCUUGAUUUCUUGCUGAUAGCUUCUAAAGCCAUAUCCAUGUUGUGAACUUGGUUGAUAAUUUCUUCUGUGUCCUCUUCACAAUGUACACGCUUGGACUGUGUUGACUUGAAAACCUUUGACCAUGUGCUUUUUGUCGAUGCUUCCUUUGCAGGACAGAUGGAUGAGAAGAUAGACUCGAAAACUGAGAUGCUGACUUCUUCGACUUCCCUUAGAAGGCUCACGAUAGCAGGAGUCUCGAUGCUUUUGUUAAUUUUGGACUUCUUAGAACCAGCAAAGCACUUGGAGAGCAUUCUGUUUGCCUUUUUCUUACAUACCAGGUAGCUUGCGAUUCUGCUUGAUACAUCAGUUUGUCUUCUACGUAGAGAGGAUUCUAGAUCUUGAACUGAAUCUCUCAUAUGCGAGAGAGCAUCUUUUGAGGUGCUGCACAGAUCCAAUAACCUAAUGGACCCGCAAAGAAUAUCUUCUCCGCAGCUCAAACGAUCUUGCUGUGCGGCUUGCGAUUGGAUCAAAUCUUCUACACACUCAUAUAAAUCUUGAAGGGCGGAUAAUUUGUCGCAUUUGGAUACUGUCGAUGAGGAUGUCCCUUCCGGGGUCCUUAAUCUGCACAAGUGCUCCUCAACAGUGGCUGUCAAGAGAUGAGAUCUGGAUGGUAAGCUGAUGGAACGAGAAUGAGCACUAACUUUUGUGGUUGCAAUUGAGGCUGCCAUUUUUAUUUGCAGGAGGAAUUAGAUGCCAAUGAAAAUCCUGAACUCAAGGUUUGUUUGAUUGAACUCUCACCUUGGCACCUUUUUAUAAACUAUGAGGAGACAAAAGGAAUCAACCUAAUUUCCUUCAUUUGCUGAACAGAGAAAGAGGCCAAGUAUCAGAAAAUGCAGAUCUCAAUUGUAGCAGUGUCUGUGGGAGGAGGAACAUUUGCUUGGCACAAAAUAAUAUAAUAUGCAAGAAACCAGGCUGGCGUUCAUCUGCAAAUUUUGGUAAGUUUUCUAAUAUGAAAACAAGUUAAGACCAGGGGUAUAAUUUUGCAUCUCAUGUGUUAUAUAUUAAAGUUGUCUUGAAAUUCAUAUACAUUGCAUUAUUUUUUGCAUCUUGUUGUUAGACAUGUUGUAUAUUAUUGUUAAGUAAAACAGCGCAUGAAUGGCUUGGCAUUUUUUUUAUGCAUAGAAUUAGUGAGGGCCUUUAUUGCUCCAUUCGGUCUCUAGCGAUGCAGAGCUGAACACUUGAGAUCUGUCAUUAUGUGUACUGGGUAGACAGAAGGAAUCUGAACAGCCUGCAGUCAGUUUGCAAGAACCAUUAAGGUGUGACUAGGUGUCCUGGUAACUAGGGGCUGAGGGCAAAACAGGCUAGAAUAGGGAUUAGUGACUCGGGUUGACCCAGCAAUGCAGUUUGUAAAAUUUUGUGUGUGAUUACUAUAUUAUAGUUUGAUUAUAUAUCUGGAUGAUCUGAAUUUUAAAGCUAUUUGCACUCAAAUCGCAAUUAAUCUUCUGUGUAUGUUUAUAUUAAUAUGAAUUGCCACCCGGAUCCGGUCUACUUCUAGUUCACAUUAGAUAGAUAAUUACAGUAUUGAUUGCCAGAAAAGAAUUGGGGACGGGUAUAACUCCUUUUUUUGACCCUGCACUGCGUUCUUAUAUGCGGUUUUGGGAUAGUGUGAUGGGUAUGAGAAGGAUCCUGCUGCAGAAAUAUAUAUAUUUUGCAAAUUGUGGUGUUGAUGAAAUAUACGCGAAACUGAAUAUUGACUUUAAACAGUUGUUUUCGCAAUCUUUCUCGUUGAUAAUAUACUAGCUUCAUAUACAGUCUGUCCUCAUGUAUGUACAAAAACUGAUCCCUCACAAAAAUUCGGGGAUGCAGUAACAGUCUAUCUAAUAUACAGUUCUGUUGGGAAAGAACUAGUGGUUGAGCACAUUGAGAAUUAAUACUCGUGUCUUGAUCAAUGAUCGGACUAGACAGUCUAAUUGUUCUUCACAUUCUUGCAUAUUCAUGUCCAAUGCCGUCAGACAUUUCUGAACGUCUUGUGUUUCUGUGAUAUCACUUUUUUUGCUUGAUUUCUUGCUGAUAGCUUCUAAAGCCAUAUCCAUGUUGUGAACUUGGUUGAUAAUUUCUUCUGUGUCCUCUUCACAAUGUACACGCUUGGACUGUGUUGACUUGAAAACCUUUGACCAUGUGCUUUUUGUCGAUGCUUCCUUUGCAGGACAGAUGGAUGAGAAGAUAGACUCGAAAACUGAGAUGCUGACUUCUUCGACUUCCCUUAGAAGGCUCACGAUAGCAGGAGUCUCGAUGCUUUUGUUAAUUUUGGACUUCUUAGAACCAGCAAAGCACUUGGAGAGCAUUCUGUUUGCCUUUUUCUUACAUACCAGGUAGCUUGCGAUUCUGCUUGAUACAUCAGUUUGUCUUCUACGUAGAGAGGAUUCUAGAUCUUGAACUGAAUCUCUCAUAUGCGAGAGAGCAUCUUUUGAGGUGCUGCACAGAUCCAAUAACCUAAUGGACCCGCAAAGAAUAUCUUCUCCGCAGCUCAAACGAUCUUGCUGUGCGGCUUGCGAUUGGAUCAAAUCUUCUACACACUCAUAUAAGUCUUGAAGAGCGGAUAAUUUGUCGCAUUUGGAUACUGUCGAUGAGGAUGUCCCUUCCGGGGUCCUUAAUCUGCACAAGUGCUCCUCAACAGUGGCUGUCAAGGGAUGAGAUCUGGAUGGUAAGCUGAUGGAACGAGAAUGAGCACUAACUUUUGUGGUUGCAAUUGAGGCUGCCAUUUUUAUUUGCAGGAGGAAUUAGAUGCCAAUGAAAAUCCUGAACUCAAGGUUUGUUUGAUUGAACUCUCACCUUGGCACCUUUUUAUAAACUAUGAGGAGACAAAAGGAAUCAACCUAAUUUCCUUCAUGUGCUGAACAGAGAAACAGGCCAAGUAUCAGAAAAUGCAGAUCUCAAUUGUAGCAGUGUCUGUGGGAGGAGGAACAUUUGCUUGGCACAAAAUAAUAUAAUAUGCAAGAAACCAGGCUGGCGUUCAUCUGCAAAUUUUGG